Molecule: unclassified non-coding RNA, 330 nt
Filed under: soil metagenome
Description: partial contains 5.8S ribosomal RNA, internal transcribed spacer 2, and large subunit ribosomal RNA
Rfam family: 5.8S ribosomal RNA (bases 1-120)
Source: RNAcentral
GAUGAAGAACGCAGCGAAAUGCGAUAAGUAGUGUGAAUUGCAGAAUUCAGUGAAUCAUCGAAUCUUUGAACGCACAUUGCGCCCCUUGGUAUUCCAUGGGGCAUGCCUGUUCGAGCGUCAUUUGUACCCUCAAGCUUUGCUUGGUGUUGGGCGUCUUGUCGUAUUACGACUCGCCUUAAAUACAUUGGCAGCCGGCACUUUGGCCUAGGAGCGCAGCACAUUUUGGGAUCGUAGCCCGUUGUACUGGCGUCCAUCAAGAACAUUUACCACGUUUGACCUCGGAUCAGGUAGGGAUACCCGCUGAACUUAAGCAUAUCAAUAAGCGGAGGA